RNAcentral lists this ribosomal RNA (432 nucleotides) under uncultured bacterium. RNAcentral describes it as "partial 16S ribosomal RNA". It matches the Rfam family "Bacterial small subunit ribosomal RNA", at positions 340 to 748 of the family's 1533-position model. The record is from RNAcentral.
UACGGAAGGCAGCAGUGGGGAAUAUUGCACAAUGGGCGAAAGCCUGAUGCAGCUAUGCCGCGUGUAUGAAGAAGGCCUUAGGGGUUUGUAAAGUACUUUUCAUCGGGGAGGGAAAAAACAAAAACUAAUAAUUUUAAUUUUCUUGACGUUACCCGAAAAAACGAAAGUAACCGGCUAACUCCGUGCCAGCAGCCGCGGUAAUACGGAGGGUGCUAGCGUUAAUCAGAAUUACUGGGCGUAAACGAGCACGUAGGUGGUUUUUUUUAAGUUCAGAUGUGAAAUCCCUGGGCUUAACCUAGGAACUGCAUUUUGAAACUGAAAUACUAGAGUAUCGUAGAGGGAGGUAGAAUUCUAGGUGUAGCGGUGAAAUGCGUAGAUAUCUGGAGGAAUACCUGUGGCGAAAGCGGCCUCCUAAACCGAAUACUGACACUG